Molecule: long non-coding RNA, 457 nt
Organism: Paramisgurnus dabryanus
Lineage: Eukaryota; Metazoa; Chordata; Actinopteri; Cypriniformes; Cobitidae
Source: RefSeq, a predicted model, not a curated record
ACCCUUGAGUUUAUGACUUCAAAAAAGCUAAUUAGAGUCAGGUUUUAGCACACCUGGAGUCUCGUUAAGAUAAUACGUUUGGAGGUGUGGAAUUGUUGCUUUACAUAAAGCUGGAAAGGGUUACAGAGUUAGACUUUAGAAAUUCACCAGUCUACAGGUAAAGAAUCUACAAAUGGAGAUGCUUUGGGACUGUUGCUACUCUACCAACAAGUGGGCACCCAGUCAAAAUGACACCAAGAGCACAACGAAGACUCAUCAGUGAGCAGAAGAAACAGCGCCUCUUGCAGGAAGACAAACAACCUCAAAACUCCUCAAAAUUCCUGGUACAAGUGCUGGUGGUCCACCUCUCUGGGUUCAAGAGGUGUUGAUUCUGCAUGCUGUGAAUUUGAGAGACCUCUCAGAGUUUAUUCAGCUGAUUGUUUUUGUAACAAUGUUUGCCAUUUUCAAUAAAAUAACG